GAUGAAGAACGUAGCGAAAUGCGAUACUUGGUGUGAAUUGCAGAAUCCCGUGAACCAUCGAGUCUUUGAACGCAAGUUGCGCCCGAAGCCAUUAGGCCGAGGGCACGCCUGCCUGGGCGUCACACGUCGUUGCCCCCCCAUCUACUCCUUCGGGAUUGCGGGGGGCGGAUGAUGGCCUCCCGUGCGCCUUGUCGCGCGGUUGGCAUAAAUGCCAAGUCCUCGGCGACGCACGCCACGACAAUCGGUGGUUGCGAAACCUCGGUUGCCCGUCGUGUGCGGUCGUCGCGCAUCGAGGGCUCGAAAAAAUUGUCGGGCUCCGGCUCGGCUUUCAACGCGACCCAAGGUCAGGCGGGGUUACCCGCUGAAUUUAAGCAUAUCAAUAAGCGGAGGA
RNAcentral lists this unclassified non-coding RNA (391 nucleotides) under soil metagenome. RNAcentral's name for it is "partial contains 5.8S ribosomal RNA, internal transcribed spacer 2, and large subunit ribosomal RNA". The stretch from base 1 to 122 matches the Rfam family "5.8S ribosomal RNA", at positions 35 to 154 of the family's 154-position model. The record is from RNAcentral.